AGAUCCCAAGCAUGGAGGAAAAUUGUCAACAGGCCGAAUUUGUUUAGGAAGAUCUGCUAGCAACCGAGUAACACCUACAAAAUAUGUUUAGACAUUUUGAGGCCAGCUCAAGAGGGAGAGAUGAAAGGUGCAGCUACUAUGUAUAGUGUUGUGACUAGAACCACUGGUGCUGCUAAUACCAUCAUUGAUGUCAGCACCAUCAGUGCCGCCCUGCCACCUCCAUCUUGUGAUAGCUCCUAAAAUGUUUUUAAUAUAUCUAUCAAUUUGGAAGAAAACUCAACCAUGUUGUAUUCAGUUUCCUUCUACUAUGGCAGAUGGCUGAAACUCUUUAUAUAUUUGAAAAGCGUGUAUUGAUGUUUUCAUUAAAGAAUAAAAAACA
Molecule: long non-coding RNA, 379 nt
Organism: Penaeus monodon (black tiger shrimp)
Lineage: Eukaryota; Metazoa; Arthropoda; Malacostraca; Decapoda; Penaeidae
Exons: 2
Source: RefSeq, a predicted model, not a curated record